Molecule: ribosomal RNA, 301 nt
Filed under: uncultured bacterium
Lineage: Bacteria
Description: partial 16S ribosomal RNA
Rfam family: Bacterial small subunit ribosomal RNA
Source: RNAcentral
CAGUCGCCGCGGUAAUACGAAGGGUGCAAGCGUUACUCGGAAUUACUGGGCGUAAAGCGUGCGUAGGUGGUGGUUUAAGUCCGUUGUGAAAGCCCUGGGCUCAACCUGGGAAUUGCAGUGGAUACUGGAUCACUAGAGUGUGGUAGAGGAUAGUGGAAUUUCCGGUGUAGCAGUGAAAUGCGUAGAGAUCGGAAGGAACAUCUGUGGCGAAGGCGACUAUCUGGGCCAACACUGACACUGAGGCACGAAAGCGUGGGGAGCAAACAGGAUUAGAGACCCGUGUAGUCCCUGUCUCUUAUAC